Molecule: ribosomal RNA, 107 nt
Filed under: uncultured bacterium
Lineage: Bacteria
Description: partial 16S ribosomal RNA
Rfam family: Bacterial small subunit ribosomal RNA
Source: RNAcentral
UACGUUCCCGGACCUUGUACACACCGCCCGUCAAGCCAUGGAAGUCAGGUGUACCUGAAGACGAUGACCGUAAGGAGUUGUCUAGGGUAAAACUGGUGACUGGGGCU